Molecule: ribosomal RNA, 484 nt
Filed under: uncultured bacterium
Lineage: Bacteria
Description: partial 16S ribosomal RNA
Rfam family: Bacterial small subunit ribosomal RNA
Source: RNAcentral
AUUGAACGCUGGCGGCAGGCCUAACACAUGCAAGUCGAGCGGAUGAAGGGAGCUUGCUCCUGGAUUCAGCGGCGGACGGGUGAGUAAUGCCUAGGAAUCUGCCUGGUAGUGGGGGAUAACGUCCGGAAACGGGCGCUAAUACCGCAUACGUCCUGAGGGAGAAAGUGGGGGAUCUUCGGACCUCACGCUAUCAGAUGAGCCUAGGUCGGAUUAGCUAGUUGGUGGGGUAACGGCCUACCAAGGCGACGAUCCGUAACUGGUCUGAGAGGAUGAUCAGUCACACUGGAACUGAGACACGGUCCAGACUCCUACGGGAGGCAGCAGUGGGGAAUAUUGGACAAGGGGCGAAAGCCUGAUCCAGCCAUGCCGCGUGUGUGAAGAAGGUCUUCGGAUUGUAAAGCACUUUAAGUUGGGAGGAAGGGCGGUACGUUAAUACCUUGCUGUUUUGACGGUACCAACAGAAUAAGCACCGGCUAACUUCGUG